Molecule: ribosomal RNA, 497 nt
Filed under: uncultured bacterium
Lineage: Bacteria
Description: partial 16S ribosomal RNA
Rfam family: Bacterial small subunit ribosomal RNA
Source: RNAcentral
GAUGAACGCUGGCGGCGUGCCUAAUACAUGCAAGUCGAGCGAACAGAUAAGGAGCUUGCUCCUUUGACGUUAGCGGCGGACGGGUGAGUAACACGUGGGUAACCUACCUAUAAGACUGGAAUAACUCCGGGAAACCGGGGCUAAUGCAGGAUAACAUGUUGAACCGCAUGGUUCUACAGUGAAAGGCGGCUUUGCUGUCACUUAUAGAUGGACCCGCGCCGUAUUAGCUAGUUGGUGAGGUAACGGCUCACCAAGGCAACGAUCCGUAGCCGACCUGAGAGGGUGAUCGGCCACACUGGAACUGAGACACGGUCCAGACUCCUACGGGAGGCAGCAGUAGGGAAUCUUCCGCAAUGGGCGAAAGCCUGACGGAGCAACGCCGCGUGAGUGAUGAAGGUCUUCGGAUCGUAAAACUCUGUUAUUAGGGAAGAACAAAUGCGUAAGUAACUGUGCGCGUCUUGACGGUACCUAAUCAGAAAGCCACGGCUAACUACGUG